GUGUCAGCAGCCGCGGUAAUACAGAGGUCUCAAGCGUUGUUCGGAUUCAUUGGGCGUAAAGGGUGCGUAGGCUGUAGUGUAAGUUGGAUGUGAAAUCCCGGAGCUUAACUCCGGAACUGCAUUCAAUACUGCUCUACUAGAGUACUGGAGAGGAGAUUGGAAUUCACGGUGUAGCAGUGAAAUGCGUAGAUAUCGUGAGGAAGACCAGUGGCGAAGGCGAAUCUCUGGACAGUUACUGACGCUGAGGCACGAAGGCCAGGGGAGCAAACGGGAUUAGAUACCCCGGUAGUCCUGGCAGUAAACGGUGUACGUUUAGUAUGGGAGGAUUCGACCCCUUCCGUGCUGGAGCUAACGCGUUAAACGUACCGCCUGGGGAGUACGGUCGCAAGAUUAAA
This 395-nucleotide ribosomal RNA is filed under the name uncultured bacterium. RNAcentral describes it as "bacterial SSU rRNA". It matches the Rfam family "Bacterial small subunit ribosomal RNA", at positions 505 to 898 of the family's 1533-position model. The record is from RNAcentral.